This 463-nucleotide ribosomal RNA is filed under the name uncultured bacterium. RNAcentral describes it as "bacterial SSU rRNA". It matches the Rfam family "Bacterial small subunit ribosomal RNA", at positions 331 to 792 of the family's 1533-position model. The record is from RNAcentral.
CCAGACUCCUACGGGAGGCAGCAGUGAGGAAUAUUGGUCAAUGGCCGAGAGGCUGAACCAGCCAAGUCGCGUGAGGGAUGACGGCCCUACGGGUUGUAAACCUCUUUUGUCGGGGAGCAAAGAGAGUCACGUGUGGCUCAUUGAGAGUACCCGAAGAAAAAGCAUCGGCUAACUCCGUGCCAGCAGCCGCGGUAAUACGGAGGAUGCGAGCGUUAUCCGGAUUUAUUGGGUUUAAAGGGUGCGCAGGCGGCCUUUUAGGCCAGGGUUAAAAGCCCGGGGCUCAACCCGGACGAGCCGUUGAAACUGGCGGGCUGGAGUUGGAGAGAAGUACGCGGAAUGCGCGGUGUAGCGGUGAAAUGCUUAGAUAUCGCGCAGAACCCCGAUUGCGAAGGCAGCGUACCGGCUCCACACUGACGCUGAGGCACGAAAGCGUGGGUAUCGAACAGGAUUAGAUACCCGCGUA